Molecule: ribosomal RNA, 481 nt
Filed under: uncultured bacterium
Lineage: Bacteria
Description: partial 16S ribosomal RNA
Rfam family: Bacterial small subunit ribosomal RNA
Source: RNAcentral
GACGAACGCUGGCGGCGUGCUUAACACAUGCAAGUCGAACGGUGAAGGGGAGCUUGCUCCCCGGAUCAGUGGCGAACGGGUGAGUAACACGUGAGCAACCUGCCCCAGACUUCGGGAUAACGCUUCGAAAGAGGUGCUAAUACCGGAUACGAACUCCUUGGGCAUCCUGGGAGUUGGAAAGUUUUUCGGUCUGGGAUGGGCCCGCGGCCUAUCAGCUUGUUGGUGAGGUAACGGCUCACCAAGGCGACGACGGGUAGCCGGCCUGAGAGGGCGACCGGCCACACUGGGACUGAGACACGGCCCAGACUCCUACGGGAGGCAGCAGUGGGGAAUAUUGCGCAAUGGGCGAAAGCCUGACGCAGCAACGCCGCGUGAGGGAUGACGGCCUUCGGGUUGUAAACCUCUUUCAGCAGGGAAGAAGCGAAAGUGACGGCACCUGCAGAAGAAGCACCGGCUAACUACGUGCCAGCAGCCGCCGUAA